RNAcentral lists this ribosomal RNA (484 nucleotides) under uncultured bacterium. Its description in RNAcentral is "partial 16S ribosomal RNA". It matches the Rfam family "Bacterial small subunit ribosomal RNA", at positions 28 to 507 of the family's 1533-position model. The record is from RNAcentral.
AUUGAACGCUGGCGGCAUGCUUUACACAUGCAAGUCGAACGGCAGCGCGGGCUUCGGCCUGGCGGCGAGUGGCGAACGGGUGAGUAAUGCAUCGGAACGUGCCCAGUAGUGGGGGAUAGCCCGGCGAAAGCCGGAUUAAUACCGCAUACGACCUGAGGGUGAAAGCGGGGGACCGAAAGGCCUCGCGCUAUUGGAGCGGCCGAUGUCGGAUUAGCUAGUUGGUGGGGUAAAGGCUUUCCAAGGCGACGAUCCGUAGCUGGUCUGAGAGGACGACCAGCCACACUGGGACUGAGACACGGCCCAGACUCCUACGGGAGGCAGCAGUGGGGAAUUUUGGACAAUGGGGGCAACCCUGAUCCAGCCAUGCCGCGUGCGGGAAGAAGGCCUUCGGGUUGUAAACCGCUUUUGUUCGGGAAGAAAUCCUCUGGGCUAAUACCCCGGGGGGAUGACGGUACCGGAAGAAUAAGCACCGGCUAACUACGUG